GGAAAGGGGAAAAGAGUUCACAGCAGUCUGUAUUACACUCUGCAUAGUAAAUGAAAUAGUUUGAAGAACAGGUCACACAAUAUACAGAUACAGCCACGUAGAAUCUACCCACGAAUCGCAACCAAAGUUUUGCUUGAGAUUUCCCGAAAAAUAUAUAUAAUGGAAUAAUAUAUGAGUAAUAAUGGAGUAAUCCAUGGGUGUUAAACUCGUUUAACUACUUCAUAACCUAUUCAUAAAUGUUCUUGCAAUUGAUUAUUAUGUGUUCAAGUUACAAAUAUUGUACAUUGCUGUGUAAUAAAAAAAAAAAAAACUUUUUCAUUGUAUCAGGUUAAGAAAUUCUGCAGCAUGGACUUUAAAAUACAGGCAAAAGCUUCUAACGUGGCUCCCUUGGGCCAAACAAAAUUAUUUGGUGGGCCACAUUUGGGCCACGGGCCAUCAGUUUGACACGUGUUAUAAUCUAUGACGAUCUGAGGAGUGGCACUAGGCAGACUGUGUGUCUACACCGGGAGGCGCCCUCGUCAUGUUUUGCUCUCUUUUGUCAGUCUGAGCCACUGAACAUACACUACCGGUCAAAAGUUUUAGAACACCCCAAUUUUUCCAGUCAUUUAUUGCAAUUCAAGUUGUGUAAGCCCAAUGAAUAGCUUGAAAUGGUACAUAGGUAAGUACUGAACAGCCAGAGGUUAAAAAAAAAAGGUUUGGUUACCCAAAACCGAAAAAUAAUGUACAUUUCAGAAUUAUACAAGAAGGCCAUUUUCAGGGAACACAACGUGGGUUAACAAUUUAAAGCUGAAUCAGCCUUGAAAGCUGGUGCUACUAAUUCCUACAGGUGUCCCAACUUUUCUGGAUUACUUACAACCCCCUCUGUCUGCAUAAAAGCAGUGUUGGAACACACUGUGGUACCAGACCCUCAUGAGCAUCAGGUGAACAGUAUUGUACUACAGAAAGUAGUGUGUUGCUACAAAAAUGGCAA
Molecule: long non-coding RNA, 970 nt
Organism: Cynoglossus semilaevis (tongue sole)
Lineage: Eukaryota; Metazoa; Chordata; Actinopteri; Pleuronectiformes; Cynoglossidae
Exons: 2
Source: RefSeq, a predicted model, not a curated record